RNAcentral lists this ribosomal RNA (726 nucleotides) under Triticum aestivum (bread wheat). Its description in RNAcentral is "partial small subunit ribosomal RNA". The record is from RNAcentral. Lineage: Eukaryota; Viridiplantae; Streptophyta; Magnoliopsida; Poales; Poaceae.
AUGGCUAAUGGUGAUCUAGGGCAGAGAUUCCAACACCGUCGUGGGCUUAGGCAGGGAGACCCCUCUCUCCAAUGCUUUUCACCAUUGCUAUUAAUUCUCUGCAUUGGUUGUUUGAGAAGACUUGCACUGCAGGUGCCCUCUCUUCCAUGCAGCUCCCCCUUCCCAGCGCAGGGUCAGUCGGCUUGCACUGCAGGUGCCCUCUCUUCCAUGCAGCUCCCCCUUCCCAGCGCAGGGUCAGUCUGUAUGCCAAUGACGCUGCCCUCUUCGUCUCAUCAACGGCUUCUGAUACCAAAGUCACCAGGGAGAUUCUACACUGUUUUGGAAGAGCUUCUGGCCUCACAGCUAACUCGGGGAAAAGCGGUGUCUUCCCCAUUGCUUGUGAUCAGGAGGAUCUGCAAGUUCUCCUUCAGCACUUUCCAAUCCCUGUAUGCAAUUCCCGUGCAACUGUGCAAGUGUCUAGGUUUGCUGUUCAACUAUAAGAAAAUUACCAGAGCUGAUCUGCAACACACCCUUGAUAAGAUGGCCUUGUGUCUGCAGCGUUGGAAGGGCAGGCUCAUAUCUAAAGAUGCUCGUCUUUGGUUGGUUAACUCUGUCCUUUCAGCUAUUCCUGCACAUCUUAUAUCUGUAUUUUGGCUGGACCUUUGGGCUUCCAAGCAAGUUGACAAGCUGCGGCGCAACUUCCUGUGGAGACCCAAACUAGAUGCGGAUGGUGGCUUGGCCCUGUGA